AAUUGCAAUGGUUCGUCAAAAAAAAAUUGCAAUGGUUGUUACUAUACCAGUCCAUUGAGUUCCUAUGAACACGAUGAACAUUACAAGUAAAAGUUAGUAUUAAAAAAAAAAUCAAAUAAACAGCACUUUGAUUUCAUUGAUGACAAAUCAAAAUACAUCGAAGCAGCAGAUGAAAUAAAUGAAAUGAAAUGCAGAGCACCUACCAUGAACUGAAUAUAAAGUUUA
Molecule: long non-coding RNA, 225 nt
Filed under: Trifolium pratense (red clover)
Lineage: Eukaryota; Viridiplantae; Streptophyta; Magnoliopsida; Fabales; Fabaceae
Description: long non-coding RNA (TPRA_LNC006858)
Source: RNAcentral